Molecule: long non-coding RNA, 451 nt
Organism: Passer montanus (Eurasian tree sparrow)
Lineage: Eukaryota; Metazoa; Chordata; Aves; Passeriformes; Passeridae
Exons: 3
Source: RefSeq, a predicted model, not a curated record
UCUAAGUAAUAAAAUUAUAGAUCUACCCUGGAAGAGAACAUUUACUUGGAAAUUUCUUCAUGGUAUUUUGCUGGCUGUUUGUGCCAUCAUGGGGUUUGUGUGCAGUGGAGACUGUUCUUAGCUUAUCUGUGCUGUGAUCUUCCUGGAUUCCUGAAAAGUCAGUAUGACCAGGAGGGAUGACAAGAAAAGCCUUCUGGAGUUGUCAGCUCCUUUUUGCUGUCCAUUACAACAUGCUUCUUAUUGAAAACCACCCAACAAUAUUUACAAGAGAUGUGGAGGGAAAAGAAACUGAAAACCAAGAAUGGGAGUAGAUGAAAAACAGUAGAGCAACACUGUGCAUCAGGAAAUUGCCAGAAAUUUCUAAAGACGAGGCCUCAGGAAGAAUAUAUAAACUGUAUAAAAAAUUCCAGUAAACGAGAAAGUUCAGUUUCAAAGUGUCUUUUUUGGGGGG